Molecule: ribosomal RNA, 446 nt
Filed under: uncultured bacterium
Lineage: Bacteria
Description: bacterial SSU rRNA
Rfam family: Bacterial small subunit ribosomal RNA
Source: RNAcentral
ACUCCUACGGGAGGCAGCAGUGGGGAAUAUUGCACAAUGGGCGCAAGCCUGAUGCAGCAACGCCGCGUGAGCGAUGAAGGCCUUCGGUCGUAAAGCUCUGUCCUCAAGGAAGAAUAAAUGACGGUACUUGAGGAGGAAGCCCGGCUAACUACGUGCCAGCAGCCGCGGUAAUACGUAGGGGGCAAGCGUUAUCCGGAAUCACUGGGCGUAAAGGGUGCGUAGGCGGUUUUCAAGUCAGAAGUGAAAGGCUAUGGCUCAACCAUAGUAAGCUUUUGAAACUGUUAAACUUGAGUGCAGGAGAGGAAAGUGGAAUUCCUAGUGUAGAGGUGAAAUUCGUAGAUAUUAGGAGGAACACCAGUGGCGAAGGCGACUUUCUGGACUGUAACUGACGCUGAGGCACGAAAGCGUGGGGAGCGAACAGGAUUAGAUACCCUGGUAGCACAGAG